CUAAAGAAGAGGUUCUAAACGGACUCUGCUCUUCAGAAAGUUGUUGAUCUCCUGUUCAUCAUCCCUGAAUUCAAAUGGGUUUCUGAACAGUUGGAAAGAGUUUAAUAACGUUGCUUUCAGCCUGAAAGAAUAACCCCCCACCACAACAAAUACUUUUCCAAGGGGAUGGAACCAAUUCCAGAGGAAAAUAAAAAAGGUACAUCAAUGAUAAAAUAGGCUCUGAUGCAAUAGACCCAAAUUAUUCACUUUUUUAAAGAUGGAUGCAAAUAUGCUGAGAUAUUAAACAGGUG
Meleagris gallopavo (turkey) is the source of this 290-nucleotide non-coding RNA. NCBI's taxonomy places the organism in Eukaryota, Metazoa, Chordata, Aves, Galliformes, Phasianidae. The record is from RefSeq and is a predicted model, not a curated record.